Molecule: non-coding RNA, 910 nt
Organism: Sus scrofa (pig)
Lineage: Eukaryota; Metazoa; Chordata; Mammalia; Artiodactyla; Suidae
Source: RefSeq, a predicted model, not a curated record
GCUUACCAGGGCGAUGCCAGUGCAGGCAAAGAGCACCUCGAAGCCGCUGUAGAUAAAGAAGGGCACGAGGUGGCGCAGGCGGAAGUCACGCACAUGCUUGAAGGGCAGCUGGAAGAUGUUGCCCCAGCCCACGCUGCGCAGGUCGAUCUCCUCCGUGGGCCGUCCACAGGCGCCAGGCCAGCUUCCGAGCCUCUAGCCCAGCUCCUAGGCUCAGGCUCCCGCCCCAGGACUCAGCUCUGACUCGGAUUCAGACCAAGCCCCCAGGCCGCCAUCCAGACGCCCAUACCGCACUCCUCUCUACCCGCCAUGGUACCCAGACCUGCCUCCGCCACACCCCCAUCCCGGCCCCCACCAGCAGCAUAGCCAGGAAGGCCAUGGCCAUGAGCACGCUCUCCACCACGAUGAGGUUUCGGCUCCGCGGCAGCGUCCGUAGGACCGUCUUGUUGAAGCCGCUGAGGAUGCCCUGGCUGUUAGUGCCUGAGAAAGGCUGACUCGCCAGCCCCCCUUCGUUACUCAUGUGCUGUGACUGCAGGGCCCAGAGAACAUUCAAGGGACUUGUCCCAAGCGGGGGCAGGCAAACAGGUGAACAGCCAGGCACCCUCGAGCCCCUGCCCCGGUGCAGUUUGCCCUUGCCAUGCUCUGUGGUCAAUUGAGAAAUUUCCUCUUCACUGGCUCCUAGAACCACAGCCUCACUGGCUCUGAGAAAAUGUCACACCGUGUUAGAAGGGGGUUGACAAGUGACAGAGUCAAAAGGGCUCGUUCAGAGCAUGGAGGCUGGUCCAGCUGAAAACCACAACUGUGAUUUUGGGGAUGGUUUUGUUUUGUUGUUUGUUUGUUUUGAGUAUUUGUGCUCAUCAUUUCCUUUCUUUGUGUUAGUUUCCAAGAAGUUCAAAGUUUUUCCAAGUUCAAA